This 494-nucleotide ribosomal RNA is filed under the name uncultured bacterium. Its description in RNAcentral is "partial 16S ribosomal RNA". It matches the Rfam family "Bacterial small subunit ribosomal RNA", at positions 28 to 507 of the family's 1533-position model. The record is from RNAcentral.
GACGAACGCUGGCGGCGUGCUUAACACAUGCAAGUCGAACGGAAAGGCCUGCUUUCCCUUGUGGUUUGCGGGUACUCGAGUGGCGAACGGGUGAGUAACACGUGAGUGAUCUGCCCCCAACUUGGGUAUAAGCCUGGGAAACUGGGUCUAAUUCCCGAUAGGACUGCAGGGUGGUGCCUGUGGUGGAAAACGAUUUUCUAGUGGUUGGGGAUGAGCUCGCGGCCUAUCAGCUUGUUGGUGGGGUAAUGGCCUACCAAGGCGGCGACGGGUAGCCGGCCUGAGAGGGUGGACGGCCACAUUGGGACUGAGAUACGGCCCAGACUCCUACGGGAGGCAGCAGUGGGGAAUAUUGCACAAUGGGCGGAAGCCUGAUGCAGCGACGCCGCGUGGGGGAUGACGGCCUUCGGGUUGUAAACUCCUUUCGACCGCGAGGAAGCCACCUGGUUGGAAGGGUGGUGACGGUAGUGGUAGAAGAAGCACCGGCUAACUACGUG